ACUUACCAGGUCAAGACAUGGGCGUGAUUGACAGGCUAAUGACUUUUCUCGAUUCCAUGGAUGGUGGUGCAUGGUCGCACUUAGUUGGUGCAGUGAUUUGUCAGGUUUAUUCCGGUAACGAACGAGACCUCGGCCUUGUAAAUAGCUAUGCUGCUUACAGGGACAUUGGCGGCUACGCCAAGGAAGCUCGAGGCAAUUGCAGAUCUGGAAUGCCCUUAGAUGUCCUGGGUCGCACGCGUGCUACAAUGACGCCACGAACGAGCUUGCGUGAUGAAAGUUACGCAUAAUCAGCAGUCGGCGUCUUAAGGGAUAGUCUCUUGUAACUGUGGGACUCCAACUAGGAAUGUCUCGUAAGCACAAGUCAACAUCCUGUGUUGAUUACGUCCCUGCUCUUUGUACACACCGCCCGUCGCUCCUACCGAUCGAGUGUUUAGGUGAAUUUGAUGGACGUAAGGAAGUCAAAUAAACCUGAGCACUAGAGAAGAGAAGUCGAAGCAUUC
This 500-nucleotide ribosomal RNA is filed under the name uncultured Myrionecta. RNAcentral's name for it is "bacterial SSU rRNA". It matches the Rfam family "Eukaryotic small subunit ribosomal RNA", at positions 1213 to 1799 of the family's 1831-position model. Lineage: Eukaryota; Ciliophora; Litostomatea; Cyclotrichida; Mesodiniidae. The record is from RNAcentral.